UAGGGUUCGAUUCUGGCUCAGAUUGAACGCUGGCGGUAGGCUUAACACAUGCAAGUCGUGCGAGAAAGUAUCCUCGGAUAUGAGUAGAGCGGCGGACGGGUGAGUAACGCGUAGGAAUCUACCUAGUAGAAGGGGAUAGCCCGGGGAAACCCGGAUUAAUACCGUAUACCUCCUUCGGGAGAAAGAAGGCCUCUCUUUGAAGCUUUCGCUACUAGAUGAGCCUGCGUAAGAUUAGCUUGUUGGUGAGGUAAAGGCUCACCAAGGCGACGAUCUUUAGCUGGUCUGAGAGGACGAUCAGCCACAUUGGGACUGAGACACGGCCCAGACUCCUACGGGAGGCAGCAGUGGGGAAUAUUGGACAAUGGGCGCAAGCCUGAUCCAGCCAUACCGCGUGUGUGAAGAAGGCCUUCGGGUUGUAAAGCACUUUAAGCAGGGAGAAAAAGUUAUAAGUUAAUACCUUAUAACCCUGAUGUUACCUGCAGAAUAAGCACCGGCUAAUUCCGUGCCAGCCGCCGCGGUAAUUCA
RNAcentral lists this ribosomal RNA (525 nucleotides) under uncultured SAR86 cluster bacterium. RNAcentral describes it as "bacterial SSU rRNA". It matches the Rfam family "Bacterial small subunit ribosomal RNA", at positions 1 to 527 of the family's 1533-position model. Lineage: Bacteria; Pseudomonadati; Pseudomonadota; Gammaproteobacteria. The record is from RNAcentral.